CCUACGGGCGGCAGCAGUAGGGAAUAUUGCUCAAUGGGGGAAACCCUGAAGCAGCAACGCCGCGUGGAGGAUGAAGGUUUUCGGAUUGUAAACUCCUUUUGUUAGGGAAGAUAAUGACGGUAUCUAACGAAUAAGCACCGGCUAACUCCGUGCCAGCAGCCGCGGUAAUACGGAGGGUGCAAGCGUUACUCGGAAUCACUGGGCGUAAAGAGCGCGUAGGCGGGAUAGCAAGUCAGAUGUGAAAUCCUAUGGCUUAACCAUAGAACUGCAUUUGAAACUGUUAUUCUAGAGUAUGGGAGAGGUAGGUGGAAUUCUUGGUGUAGGGGUAAAAUGCGUAGAGAUUAAGAGGAAUACUCAUUGCGAAGGCGACCUGCUAGAACAUAACUGACGCUGAUGCGCGAAAGCGUGGGGAGCAAACAGGAUUAGAUACCCGGGUAGUC
Molecule: ribosomal RNA, 440 nt
Filed under: uncultured bacterium
Lineage: Bacteria
Description: partial 16S ribosomal RNA
Rfam family: Bacterial small subunit ribosomal RNA
Source: RNAcentral